CAUACCUAUUCGAAGGGAUAGGGUCGGUUUGGCCGGAUUUCACACAGGUGUUGCAUGGCUGUCGUCAGCUCGUGUCGUGAGAUGUUGGGUUAAGUCCCGCAACGAGCGCAACCCUCAUCCUUAGUUACCAUCAGGUUAUGCUGGGGACUUUAAGGAAACUGCCAGUGAUAAACUGGAGGAAGGUGGGGAUGAUGUCAAGUCAUCAUGGCCCUUAUGGAGUGGGCUACACACGUGCUACAAUGGUGAUUACAAUGGGCUGCAAGGUCGCAAGGCUGAGCUAAUCCUAAAAAAUCAUCUCAGUUCGGAUUGUUCUCUGCAACUCGAGAGCAUGAAGUUGGAAUCGCUAGUAAUCGUGGAUCAGCAUGCCACGGUGAAUACAUUCUCGGGUCUUGUACACACUGCCCGUCACGCCAUGGGAAUUGGUUUCACUCGAAGCU
RNAcentral lists this ribosomal RNA (437 nucleotides) under Wolbachia pipientis. RNAcentral describes it as "bacterial SSU rRNA". It matches the Rfam family "Bacterial small subunit ribosomal RNA", at positions 992 to 1428 of the family's 1533-position model. Lineage: Bacteria; Pseudomonadati; Pseudomonadota; Alphaproteobacteria; Rickettsiales; Anaplasmataceae. The record is from RNAcentral.